Gasterosteus aculeatus aculeatus (three-spined stickleback) is the source of this 1172-nucleotide long non-coding RNA. The record is from Ensembl. NCBI's taxonomy places the organism in Eukaryota, Metazoa, Chordata, Actinopteri, Perciformes, Gasterosteidae.
CUUUCACCUCUUCGGUUAGAGACAGAGAAGACAAGUCUGCACCAUUUUCUACCUCUCAUGCAGUACUACACGGUAAGUGCAAUUAAGUUAAACUUACUGAAACAAUUAAAAAUUGAUGCUGAGAAUUUCAGUAUGAACAAUUAAAUAUCCACAGAGAAUAUAUGCCUUAUACAGCCGUGUUUGUUGCCAGGACUGAACAGUAAAUUUGUCCUCGUGGUUAGCUAGCUAGUUAGCAGUGUACGGUAAGCUAGCUAACAGUUUGUUACUAAAACUAUCUCCAACUUUAUCAAUAAUGAUUUAACAAUUCACAGGCAUACUCAAAGCUAGGAAAUACAAAGCAUUAUGAUUUUUAACUAUAUAAAAUCUUGUUUGAGGCUGGAGCCAACGUUUUUUUUUUUCGCUUUGAAGAUCAAAGGGACCUCAAAAAACGUGUCCCAACAUGCAGACGGGUGUUUCACGUGUCUAGUUCACGUGUCUAGCUAUCCAUCAGAUUCUAUGACCUGCAGUGUUGGAAAAAUUACUAAUUUACUUAGGUAAAAGUAUGUAAGUAUUACCAUUACUAUUAUUACCAAGUUAAAGCUAAAGUACAAAAUUAGCAGAAAAUCGGGGUGUGACUGAUAUAUAUGAAAUACAUUUAAGUGCAUCAUUGAAUACUUAUGAGUCGGUGCAUAAGCAGCCGAUUUUCUGGAAAGUAGCACUUUUUCCAAUACUGCAGGUCACAGAAUCGACUUUUUACCGUUCUUGCUUAAAUGUUUAUUUACUUUCUCAAACUUCAUUGCAUGUCUCAGUCAAAAUGCUGGUCCAGGUGAAGUACAGCCAACAGCAGAAGUAUGUAAAGUUGGAUGAGGAUGAAGGACUGUUUGACUUUCUGCAAUUCCAUGAAAAAGCUCUUUACAUGCCUUUAUCAGACUCUAAUACUGUAAAUGGGUGUACAUUGCUAAACAUUUUCAGUUCUGCAAUGUGUGCUUCAUAAAGUGUAAAGUAUAUAAUAAUAUACACCAAAACAGUCAAUAAAAAAAAAGGCAAUCAUCAAUUUUUAAAUUUGGACUUGGAAGGGAAUGGGUUUUGUGAGGGACAAAUGGUCUAUGUCUAUUCAAUGAUUAUACAAUGUUGGAUGUAUGUAUUUAACAUGCACAGUUAUUGGCUGUGAGGCAAGAAACAGUGCGGACUUC